RNAcentral lists this ribosomal RNA (1343 nucleotides) under uncultured bacterium. RNAcentral's name for it is "16S ribosomal RNA". It matches the Rfam family "Bacterial small subunit ribosomal RNA", at positions 28 to 1378 of the family's 1533-position model. The record is from RNAcentral.
GACGAACGCUGGCGGCGUGCUUAACACAUGCAAGUCGAACGGAAAGGCCCUGCUUUUGUGGGGUGCUCGAGUGGCGAACGGGUGAGUAACACGUGAGUAACCUGCCCUUGACUUUGGGAUAACUUCAGGAAACUGGGGCUAAUACCGGAUAGGAGCUCCUGCUGCAUGGUGGGGGUUGGAAAGUUUCGGCGGUUGGGGAUGGACUCGCGGCUUAUCAGCUUGUUGGUGGGGUAGUGGCUUACCAAGGCUUUGACGGGUAGCCGGCCUGAGAGGGUGACCGGCCACAUUGGGACUGAGAUACGGCCCAGACUCCUACGGGAGGCAGCAGUGGGGAAUAUUGCACAAUGGGCGGAAGCCUGAUGCAGCAACGCCGCGUGCGGGAUGACGGCCUUCGGGUUGUAAACCGCUUUCGCCUGUGACGAAGCGUGAGUGACGGUAAUGGGUAAAGAAGCACCGGCUAACUACGUGCCAGCAGCCGCGGUGAUACGUAGGGUGCGAGCGUUGUCCGGAUUUAUUGGGCGUAAAGGGCUCGUAGGUGGUUGAUCGCGUCGGAAGUGUAAUCUUGGGGCUUAACCCUGAGCGUGCUUUCGAUACGGGUUGACUUGAGGAAGGUAGGGGAGAAUGGAAUUCCUGGUGGAGCGGUGGAAUGCGCAGAUAUCAGGAGGAACACCAGUGGCGAAGGCGGUUCUCUGGGCCUUUCCUGACGCUGAGGAGCGAAAGCGUGGGGAGCGAACAGGCUUAGAUACCCUGGUAGUCCACGCUGUAAACGGUGGGUACUAGGUGUGGGGUCCAUUCCACGGGUUCCGUGCCGUAGCUAACGCUUUAAGUACCCCGCCUGGGGAGUACGGCCGCAAGGCUAAAACUCAAAGGAAUUGACGGGGCCUCGCACAAGCGGCGGAGCAUGCGGAUUAAUUCGAUGCAACGCGUAGAACCUUACCUGGGUUUGACAUGGAUCGGGAGUGCUCAGAGAUGGGUGUGCCUCUUUUGGGGUCGGUUCACAGGUGGUGCAUGGCUGUCGUCAGCUCGUGUCGUGAGAUGUUGGGUUAAGUCCCGCAACGAGCGCAACCCUUGUUCACUGUUGCCAGCACGUUAUGGUGGGGACUCAGUGGAGACCGCCGGGGUCAACUCGGAGGAAGGUGGGGAUGACGUCAAGUCAUCAUGCCCCUUAUGUCCAGGGCUUCACGCAUGCUACAAUGGCUGGUACAGAGAGUGGCGAGCCUGUGAGGGUGAGCGAAUCUCGGAAAGCCGGUCUCAGUUCGGAUUGGGGUCUGCAACUCGACCUCAUGAAGUCGGAGUCGCUAGUAAUCGCAGAUCAGCAACGCUGCGGUGAAUACGUUCCCGGG